GCCCCUUUAGUGUAGUCCGGUCAAUCAUCCAUGGUUCUCAGCCGUGUGACGCGGGUUCAAAUCCCGCAAGGGGCG
RNAcentral lists this transfer RNA (75 nucleotides) under Candidatus Woesearchaeota archaeon. RNAcentral describes it as "tRNA-Glu". It matches the Rfam family "tRNA". Rfam says of the family: Transfer RNA (tRNA) molecules are approximately 80 nucleotides in length. The record is from RNAcentral. Lineage: Archaea; Nanobdellati; Candidatus Woesearchaeota.